Molecule: long non-coding RNA, 623 nt
Organism: Sapajus apella (tufted capuchin)
Lineage: Eukaryota; Metazoa; Chordata; Mammalia; Primates; Cebidae
Exons: 2
Source: RefSeq, a predicted model, not a curated record
GGAGAAGGGGCGAGGAGUGGGCGGGCGGCUGAAGGUACGGGGGUGUCCGCGGUGGAGUUGUGUGAAGUGACCGUUGCGUGAUUUUGAGUCUGUGACAGAAGGAAUCAGUUGAAUGAUGAAGAUCCUUAGUCUGAUCCACUCCAGGAGAGAUCUCAGCUCAUUCCCAUCUGUUGCCAUUUGGAAUAUUAAAUAGUUUGUGAAGGAUAGAAACUAAAUCUGUGCAAGAACAUAUAGAGUCAGAAUGGCCACGCUCCUACACCUUCCUCCUCCCCACUCAGUUCUUCCCCAAGUCAUUCUUCAAUUCCAAGGCCAAGGUAAGCUAACAGUGGAAUAUAAGUAUGGACUAUUUUUCUGUCUGUCCUGAAUGCCAGCACUUUAGGAGUAGUUAAAAUGUGAUUCAGUAACAUGAGAAUAUUAGAAAACCUGGUUGUAGGCUACAGUGUCAUAUACUAAAUAAUAUCCUUGGUGUUACCCUAGAGAAUACCCAGUCUUCAUGAGUUAAAUACAUCUCUACUGUACCUACUGUGAAAUACUGGACGCUGAGUUGCCCAUGUGGGAAGCAGCUGAAUUAUAAAUCACCACCUACAAUUUAGAGGGAAUAUAGAUAGAUCUGAUGCUUGCUU